GGACCUUUAAAACGAUGCAAGCACCUCUUGACCUCGGAUCAGGUAGGGAUACCCGCUGAACUUAAGCAUAUCAAUAAGCGGAGGAAAAGAAACCAACAGGGAUUGCCUCAGUAACGGCGAGUGAAGCGGCAACAGCUCAAAUUUUAAAGCUGGUAGUCUUCAGACGCCCGCGUUGUAAUUUGGAGAGGCAUCUUCGGUUCGGGCGCUGGUCUAUGUUCCUUGGAACUGGACGUCGCAGAGGGUGAGAAUCCCGUGCUUGGCCAGCUGACCCCUUCCACGUGAAGCGCCUUCGACGAGUCGAGUUGUUUGGGAAUGCAGCUCAAAAUGGGUGGUAAAUUUCAUCUAAAGCUAAAUAUUGGUGGGAGACCGAUAGCGCACAAGUAGAGUGAUCGAAAGAUGAAAAGCACUUUGAAAAUAGAGUAAAACAGUACGUGAAAUUGUUGAAAGGGAAGCGCUUGAGGCCAGACUCGUGCGGGGACGAUCAGCCACCCUUCUGGGCGGUGCACUCGUCUUCGUUCGGGCCAGCAUCGGUCGGGACGGCGGGACAAAGGCUUCGGGAACGUGACUCCUCUCGGGGAGUGUUACAGCCCGUCGUGCAAUGCCGUCAGCCCCGACC
RNAcentral lists this ribosomal RNA (616 nucleotides) under Leucangium sp. JLF1371. RNAcentral's name for it is "eukaryotic LSU rRNA". It matches the Rfam family "Eukaryotic large subunit ribosomal RNA", at positions 1 to 590 of the family's 3401-position model. The record is from RNAcentral. Lineage: Eukaryota; Fungi; Ascomycota; Pezizomycetes; Pezizales; Morchellaceae.